CUACUAUUGGCAAAUGUUGACCAGCUCACUGUGGGUUUGACAAGUCAAGCAGAAUUUCUGCAGACCUAAGGAGUUUCCACAGUGAUUCCCAUGGGUUUCUCCAGGUGGCAGGUCAGAUCCACAACAAAUAUAUUGGGAGUAGGAACACAGAAGACCAUGCCUGUGAGUUUCCCAUUCAGCUCAGGGAUGCAGCUGAAGCAGCUUACUGAGCUUGGGAGAAAAGCUGAAAAGAAGCUAGAUAUUCUAAGAAGUAGGUAUGAAGAGUACAUUUCAGGCACUGGGGACUGCUUUGGCAAAUGUACAUUUGGCAAAUGUAGGAGAUAGAAUACUGAAUGAGAGGAAUAGUAAAUAGGCUAGUUUGACUGGAGUGCAAAGUGUGAGAAGGGGAAUGAUUCAGACUGUGAAGGGCUUUGCAUUUGGG
RNAcentral lists this long non-coding RNA (421 nucleotides) under Phascolarctos cinereus (koala). RNAcentral describes it as "lncRNA (ENSPCIG00000032014.1)". Lineage: Eukaryota; Metazoa; Chordata; Mammalia; Diprotodontia; Phascolarctidae. The record is from RNAcentral.